GUCUGUGGCCAUACCACCCUGAACACGCCUGAUCUUGUCUGAUCUCGGAAGCUAAGCAGGGUCCGGCCUGGUUAGUACUUGGAUGGGAAACAGCAAAAUAGAGACAAUAGAUU
Erinaceus europaeus (western European hedgehog) is the source of this 113-nucleotide ribosomal RNA. The record is from Ensembl. NCBI's taxonomy places the organism in Eukaryota, Metazoa, Chordata, Mammalia, Eulipotyphla, Erinaceidae.